This is a long non-coding RNA of Pezoporus flaviventris, 914 nucleotides long. RefSeq lists it as uncharacterized. The record is from RefSeq and is a predicted model, not a curated record. Lineage: Eukaryota; Metazoa; Chordata; Aves; Psittaciformes; Psittacidae. The transcript has 3 exons.
AGGUGAACCGCCAGAGAUGGGGCUGGCCUCCACACCACUGCAAACCACCUGCCCCAGCACAGGGACCAUUACCUGCAUCAACCACUGCCAGCAUCACCCCCAGAUGGGAUGGAUGUCACUUUAUCACCUGAGGUGGCCACAGCAGAGCCAGGGAGCCCACAGCCAAGCACAGCACAGAGGUGGCUAGAGCAGAUGACCUGGUACACUCCAGCCACACCAGCAUUUCCAAGGAGCUCCGGCAGGGCUAAAGGAUGCUAAAGGAUGGGUCCAGCUGGAUCUGGCCCCGCAUGGCCUCACCUGCUCCUCCAGCAUCAUGCGGACUGAGCGCUCCUUGUCCAGCUGCUGCCGAAGCUCGAUCAUCUCCCGCCGCAGAUCCUCAGCCUUCUCAUCCUCCCAGAUGUCUGGGAGAAGAUGUACUCAGCCGUUUGCUGGAGGAUGGCCGCCUGCGGAAGAGCCAGGAGGGGAACACUGAGACAGGAGAGACCACGGCAUCUCCCCAGGCCCUGCUCCAGCCAAGCUCCCUCCCUGCCUGACACACAGCAGCACUGCUCCUUGCCUGGCCCCAGCAUCUCCGUCCAGGUUCUGCUUCACCCCUGGGAUUUCCAUCAUGGUGAACCUCCAGUUCACUCAUCUCAGGAACACAUAUGGCAGCCAAGCGCCAGCUCCUCAACCCACUUGCCUGCACAGCGUGGCCACCUUGUUGCCAAGGCACCUGCCACCCUGCUCACAGGGUGCUGUCACAUACACCCAGCCCACUCUGAGACACCAGGGCUGCAACGCACACCCGCUCUCAUGAGGAAACCUCUUCCCAAGAGACCUCCAUCACUGAAUUAACAUAAGCAAAUACCCCAAUUACUCUUACAGCCCUGUCCUGCCCAACAAGGAACUCUGAAAACCUUCACAUGCAGAACAGU